Small nucleolar RNA from Manihot esculenta (cassava), 96 nucleotides. RefSeq annotates it as small nucleolar RNA Z266. NCBI's taxonomy places the organism in Eukaryota, Viridiplantae, Streptophyta, Magnoliopsida, Malpighiales, Euphorbiaceae. The record is from RefSeq and is a predicted model, not a curated record. The transcript has a single exon.
AAUUGGGCAGAAUGAUGAAUCAAUUAGAUGUGUGAAUGGAGCCGAUCCAUUUUGAACUCAACUGGUGAGGUAUAUUGAUUUUCUGACUUGCCAAUG